Long non-coding RNA from Astatotilapia calliptera (eastern happy), 3721 nucleotides. The record is from Ensembl. NCBI's taxonomy places the organism in Eukaryota, Metazoa, Chordata, Actinopteri, Cichliformes, Cichlidae.
CUUAGCAUUACAAAAGAGUACAAGCACGCACUUAUUUUCUUGAGGUUAGAAAAACCUACAUGUAUGCUGCUUCACCUCCACGCAAUGCACGAUUUAACCUUUCAUCGUUUGUUGUAUUUAUAUCUCUGCUCUUUCCUUUGCUCUGGAAAUCAGAGGGAAGAGAUUACAGAAAAUCCCGUCUUUCAGGUGAGAAAGUGGGAUUAAAAAGCAGGCUCAGAGUACAAGGUGUGAAAAAUGCUCACAGUGUUUGGUGUGAAGCAGGAUGUUGAAGAUGCACUGUGUGCAGUUUCAUUAUCCGAUUAAAAGCAGCAUUAUACGUUAAAAAUGAACUGCUGGCUUUGCAUUGGUUUACUGUGAGAGCUUCUAGGAGGUAGCGUGUCCAUGUGUUAUUCUUGUUCAUAUACUGACACCUAAUGGCCAUUGAGAGUACAGCAAAGCAUGUGGAAUAACAGUGCACUGAACAGUUUCUCCAUUCAAAAUCACUGGGUAACUGAUUCCCACCAACAUUACAUUCCCAUACAAUUCCUAUUUUUGUUCAAUGUGGAAUUCCAGAAAACAAGAAAAUCUUGUGAUCUCAUAUUUCAUCCCAAAUAAGUCAAAUCCACUUUGAAUAAAAGUUUAAUUCACAAAAAUACAUUGACCAGUAUAAUGAAAAUGUACUAAAAUGUACUUUAAUAAUCCAUAAAAGCUGGAACAUUAUUGACAGAAAAACACAAGAAGCGAUAUUAGAGUUGGUUUAGUACAAUAUAUUUCAGCUUCGAGAGACAUAGAAAUCAAUCCUUAUUUUUCCCCAUAUUUCUUCUAUAAAAGACCCAUUUUUUCUGAAGCAUUGUUAUGCAAAAAGAAAAAUGGCAUUAGAAUAUAUUAUGGGAGCUAUGAAAUCCCGGUGACUGAGUAUAAAAUUAAGUCACAUCAGAGAGAGAUAUCUGCAGAAGAGAAGUCCAUGAACAAGAGGGCAAACAAAGAAAAAAAAAUGUAAUAAAAAAAAAUAAUAAUACAUAUCAUAGACCUCGAUCUACCAUCACUGACAUGACAGGCAUGGAGAAUAGGUGUAUGGCUAUAAAAAAAAAAAAAUUCUCACUUUUCCACUUUGAUUUCACUUGAAAACAUCUACACGUAAUAACUGAUGCUUUAUUCAUGCUCGUUUUUGAAGAAUAUUUAUAAUCAUACAACUAAAGAGGUCAACUUCCAUGUCUUUCAAAUACAAUAUUGAAAAAGAUGAAAAAUACUGAAUCCAAGUUCUAACUUUGUUUUCCUUCUUAAAUGCUGUUAUUUCUUUAUGUUAAGCUGUCAAAAAAUAAAAAUAAGGGGCUGGCCAUGUAGGCAGCUCGUGGACUUUUUUUUGUUUGUUUUUUAACUUUCAGAGGCUUUGCUGCAUUUUAAUCAGAACAUCGUCAGUUUGUGGUGCUGUUGUUGGUGCAGAGGUGGACGCUUCCCGUUCAGCGUUCACACUCAAACUGAGACAGAGGAAGGUCCUCGGAGGCGAGAGACCAGAGUCUACUCUCUCUUACUGUCUUUCUCUUUUCAUUCUCUCUGGUGUAGAUCAUCCUCAUCUUUGAUAGGAGCAGUUCAGUCAGCUGAUUCACCGUUUAUGGCUGAUGGAGGAAGGGUAGGGUCAGGGCUGUUGGAAUGCUGGCACGUUCCAAUCAGGGCAACAGUUCUUCAUUACAGCAUUUCUGCAAGACAGCACACUGUCAGUCCUUCCAUAGCCAACUCAAAUCACCCUCUGAAAGAAAAUUAAGGCCGCAGUGCCCUCUACUGGCUGCUGAGCAGCAUUGCAAGUGUUGCAAUUUCAUUAGAAAAAAAAUACACGGGCAUAUAGCAUAUAUUAUACCACUUUAAAGUAAAAGCAUUAAUGAUUACAAGAAUGAUGUGUAUAAACCUGGGAUUUUGAGGCUUAAAAAUAAAAUUAAAAACUUAUAACCUGCUUUUUGGACCCUUAAUACAAAGUUUUUCAUUCUUAAACUUCUUAGCGCUUUUCUUACAUCUUAACCAGACCUUGGAAAAGAGAUCAAAUGUCUAACACAAAGCCUCAGGGGAAAAUCACACCUCAGAGCAGAAAGUGAAGCCAGCAGUCCAACAGGGAGCACAGAGAAGUACUCCUGCACUAUGUUCCUCAGAGGCACUUUCAGUGCCAAAGGCUUUAGGAAGCCGAGUGAUCAGCAUUUUGUGGCUUCUCUCAGCUGAGCAAAACUUCAAUCAGUCCGUGUGCCAAAAGUCAUGUGAUGAGGUCUGCCGAGUUUCUGCUUGGGAUGUUUAAACACUGCUCAGGUGCCAUCUUUCCAUUAACAGUCUGAGCUCUGAGCUCAUGCUCGCCCUGUGCUUAAGUGUAGCUGCUGCAAUUAAAUGAACGUCUGUCUGGGCGAACACCAAGAGCCGCUGGUGUUCAACUCACAAACACCAAAAUGAGAACAGAACACAAAUAACAUAAUAGGAGUAUAUGCAUGAUGCUACAAGUGCAACUAGCAGGCUCGUGAUUCAUUUGCAGGCCAAGCUACCUUUCAGAGAGGCAGUGACAAUAAGUUGGUAAUGAGCGCAAUAACAGAUGCCCUGCAGUAACCAUUCUUAUUUCAAGUGUUCAUGCGGUCUACUCUCAUGUUGCUAUAAUCACAUUCUGGCUACAGCAAAUCUUGUUUUUCUUAUUAGUCUUACAGUUAGCUUUCAUAACUUCCAUAUGUUGUUGCUCGGUUUCUGAUGAAGUAUUCAUUAACAGACCUCUUCAGACACAUAGUAGAGCUCCUUCAAGAAUAUUAAUGAUAGCUUUAUUUCAUUAAGGUGUUUGGAAUCUAGGGCCAUGCAAGCUAACAGCUCCCUAAAUAUAUCCCUCUCCCAGUGAAUACAGUGACAGAUAAAACCAGAGACUCAAAGUUCAUGAGCUCAUCAGGUCAACAUGCUGGAAGCCACAAACUGACAUGUCCCAUUAACUCUCUGCGUCCCGUCUGUGCCUGGCACUGUAUCCCCUCUCUCCCUCUCGCAGCGUAUGAGCUGGUGGGCUGUGAGCAGUGGAACAGCGAGGUUGAAAUCCCGUUAGUGCUGGUUCAUUGGGCUGGCCGGCGUGAGAGUCGGGUAGGGUGGAGGUGGGGGGUGCUGGGAGUGCUGACGCCACCCUGGGGCAUGCUAACAGAGGCCCCCGCUCUCACACACUGGAGCUCUAACUGACCAACACAGAUGGGUUCAGAGGAGGAACGCAGUGGGUGGUUCAGCGACCCUGCUGUCUGGGCUGGCUACAAUGGCACUGUCUGUUUCACUAAUCCAGUUUUAUCUGCAAAAUCAAAGUUUUAUUCCUCCACCCUGGAAGUUAAAAGUAACUGAAGACGUAAGAUCUCUCUGUUGGCUGUGUGAACCUGUCAGGUCUGGCAAUACUGGGGUUUUGUUCUGACAACAGAGCUCAAAAUACCAGCUAACAGAUUGUAAGAGCUUCUAAAAGCGACUGCACUCUAACCAAAAUACUGGAGGGAGGAAGAAAAAAAAAAAAAAAGUUGUGCAAACUGUCGCUUGUUCAGCUACACCCUUUUUAAUUUCAAACAACAAAGAGGCCAUAUGAGCUCCAUUUUGCUCUUUUAAUGACAUUUGAUUGUUUUCACAAUAUCAUUCACCAAUUAACAGCGAAUAAACUGUUUAAGCUUUUUAAUCUUGCUCACAAUUAGAUUCGUUUUUUGCUCCAAUCCUUAUGGCAAAAUAUCCCAUAGGCUUGUCAGUCCUUUAUUAUUUAUCUGUAGGC